UACCAGCACCCCGAGUGGUCGGGACGAUUAUUGGGCCUAAAGCAUCCGUAGCCGGUCCUGCAAGUCUUCCGUUAAAUCCAGCUGCUCAACAGAUGGGCUGCGGAGGAUACUACAGGGCUAGGAGGCGGGAGAGGCAAGCGGUACUUUAUGGGUAGGGGUAAGAUCCGUUGAUCCAUAGAAGACCACCAGUGGCGAAGGCGGCUUGCCAGAACGCGCUCGACGGUGAGGGAUGAAAGCUGGGGGAGCAAACCGG
RNAcentral lists this ribosomal RNA (253 nucleotides) under uncultured bacterium. RNAcentral's name for it is "partial 16S ribosomal RNA". It matches the Rfam family "Archaeal small subunit ribosomal RNA", at positions 474 to 727 of the family's 1478-position model. The record is from RNAcentral.